GGAUGUGAAAAUGAUCUGGCUGCCACAUCUGUCGCCCCAGUGAUCACCAGGGUUGAUUUGGGUGGUCUGGCUGGCUAGGCCGGUGUCCUCACUGCUCCAUGCCUGUUUCUCCUGAAGCUACGCUCUCCUUCCCCAAACAGAGGAGGACCAGUCUUUGGUCAAGGGUAUUCGAGUAGCUGGCCUCCCCAUUGGAACUUCCAAACAAGCUCUGAAGAAGUUGGUGCUGCUCUUAGGUCACUCCUAAAGCAGCAGAGCUUUGAGGAGAUGGGAUUCAAUGACAGUAAGUCUCAG
Molecule: small nuclear RNA, 291 nt
Filed under: Rattus norvegicus (Norway rat)
Lineage: Eukaryota; Metazoa; Chordata; Mammalia; Rodentia; Muridae
Description: 7SK RNA
Rfam family: 7SK RNA
About the family: 7SK was discovered as an abundant small nuclear RNA in the mid-70s but a possible function has only recently been suggested.
Source: Rfam by way of RNAcentral